GUUUUAGAGAGAAGGGGACGUCUGCAUUCAUCCCAGGCAGACUAAAAUGCCACACAAAGCACGCCUCACCUGGUCCGACUCCUUUUGCACCAGGAAUAAGCUGCAGGUCUUCAUCACCCAAGAGGCAGGGCCCAGCUUGGACGAGUCACCAGUUCAUCACAGGACACAUGGAGACAAACAACCAUUCACAUUCACACCUACAGGCAAUUUUUCAGUCACCAAUUAACCUAUUAAAUGAAUGUCUUUGGACUGUGAGAGGAAGCCGGAGAGAGCCCACGCAGACUCGGGGAUAACGUGCAAACUCCACACACAAAUGCAGAGGUUUGACCCAGUGCUAGAAUUAUUUACCUAUGUGUACACAACUUGAAAUUCAACCUUGAAUCCAGGUUUAAUACCAAAACAAACCACGUUUGUUUUUUAAGGUUUUAUUACAGUUUUCAGAACAUUGCAUAAAAACAGCAUUACAAAGGAGUAUCAGGAGACAUAUUUCAAAAGAUAACUGGAAAAAGAGGUAGCAUUUGACAUACUGUGUAGUCUAACUAUAAAUGAAGACAUUACAGUACAGAGAUGAUAUGAUUUUCAUGUGAUGGGUAAUACAGUAAAAAAAAA
Larimichthys crocea (large yellow croaker) is the source of this 609-nucleotide long non-coding RNA. RefSeq lists it as uncharacterized. Lineage: Eukaryota; Metazoa; Chordata; Actinopteri; Sciaenidae. The transcript is spliced from 2 exons. The record is from RefSeq and is a predicted model, not a curated record.